UCGAGGAUAUUUAGCAAUGGGCGAAAGCCUGACUAUGCGACGCCGCGUGAGGGAUGAAGGUUUUCGGAUCGUAAACCUCUUUCGAAGGGGAAGAAAACCCAGUACAUUAAUAAUGUGUUGGGCUGCCGGUACCCUGAGAAGAAGCCACGGCCAACUCCGUGCCAGCAGCCGCGGUAAUACGGGGGUGGCGAGCGUUACUCGGAUUUAUUGGGUGUAAAGGGCAGGUAGGCGGUUUCGAAGGUCGAAUGUGAAAUCCUUUGGCUUAACCAAAGAAGUGCAUUCGAAACUCCGAGACUUGAGUAUGGAAGAGGAGAGUGGAAUUCCCGGUGUAAGGGUGAAAUCUGUAGAUAUCGGGAGGAACACCAGUGGCGAAGGCGACUCUCUGGUCCGUAACUGACGC
This 400-nucleotide ribosomal RNA is filed under the name uncultured bacterium. Its description in RNAcentral is "bacterial SSU rRNA". It matches the Rfam family "Bacterial small subunit ribosomal RNA", at positions 355 to 746 of the family's 1533-position model. The record is from RNAcentral.